CAGUCGCCGCGGGAAUACGAAGGGGGCUAGCGUUGUUCGGAAUUACUGGGCGUAAAGCGCACGUAGGCGGAUAUUUAAGUCAGGGGUGAAAUCCCAAGGCUCAACCUUGGAACUGCCUUUGAUACUGUUUGUCUUGAGUUCGAGAGAGGUAAGUGGAACUGCGAGUGUAGAGGUGAAAUUCGUAGAUAUUCGCAAGAACACCAGUGGCGAAGGCGGCUUACUGGCUCGAAACUGACGCUGAGGCGCGAAAGCGUGGGGAGCAAACAGGAUUAGAUACCCCAGUAGUCCCUGUCUCUUAUAC
RNAcentral lists this ribosomal RNA (301 nucleotides) under uncultured bacterium. Its description in RNAcentral is "partial 16S ribosomal RNA". It matches the Rfam family "Bacterial small subunit ribosomal RNA", at positions 509 to 807 of the family's 1533-position model. The record is from RNAcentral.